GACGAACGCUGGCGGCGGGCUUAACACAUGCAAGUCGAACGGGAAGUCCCUGCUUUUGUGGGGUGCUCGAGUGGCGAACGGGUGAGUAACACGUGAGUAACCUGCCCUUGACUGUGGGAUAACUUCAUGAAACUUGGGCUAAUACCGGAUAGGAGCUCCUGCUGCAUGGUGGGCGUGGGUUAGUUUCGGCGGUUGGGGAUGGACUCGCGGCUUAUCAGCUUGUUGGUUGGGUAGUGGCUUACCAAGGCUUGGACGGGUGGCCGGGCUGAGAGGGUGACCGGACACACUGGGCCUGAGAUGCGGCACAGACUCCUACGGGAGGCAGCAGAGGGGAAUGUAGUACAAUGGGCGGAAGCAUGAUGCAGCAACGCCGCGCGCGGGAAGACGGGAAUGGGGUAGUAAACCACUUCCGCCUGUGACGAGACGUGAAUGACGGUAAUGGGUGAAGAAGCACCGGCUAACUACGUG
This 468-nucleotide ribosomal RNA is filed under the name uncultured bacterium. RNAcentral's name for it is "partial 16S ribosomal RNA". It matches the Rfam family "Bacterial small subunit ribosomal RNA", at positions 28 to 507 of the family's 1533-position model. The record is from RNAcentral.